This 29-nucleotide non-coding RNA is filed under the name Rattus norvegicus (Norway rat). Lineage: Eukaryota; Metazoa; Chordata; Mammalia; Rodentia; Muridae. The record is from RNAcentral.
UACAGAGUCGUCCAUUUUGGUACACAAUU